RNA transcript from Phragmites australis (common reed), 2756 nucleotides. It is a transcript of the gene named ubiquitin carboxyl-terminal hydrolase 25-like, with no coding region annotated. The record is from RefSeq and is a predicted model, not a curated record. Lineage: Eukaryota; Viridiplantae; Streptophyta; Magnoliopsida; Poales; Poaceae. The transcript is spliced from 9 exons.
GAACUCAACCGCGCGGGCCGAAUCCAACUCUUCACUCUCCUCUCUUUCGAGCCCGAGGGGAGAAAAAUCCACCAAACUUCCCCUCCCUCUCCCUCCUCUCGCGUCCCCUCGUCGCCGUACUGCCUUCUCCCCGAUUCGAGGGCGCGCGCCCUCCCUACCCCUCUCGCCCUCGCCUCGCCGGCCGCGCCAACCUCAAGCUCUCGUCCGGAGCGCCAAUAGCACGGUGGCCAGUCCUGCGCGGCGCCCGCUGGUGGGCGAUGCGGUCGGAUGAGUUGGCGGCGGCGGCGGCGGUGCCACGUGGAGACGAGGAGGAGGAGGAGGGGGACCUCUGGCUGUCCAGCGGCGGUGUUGCCCCCGCCGCACCUGCCCCUCGGAGCCGGUGAUGGCCCCGACAGCGGAGCCGUCUUCGCCGCCGCGGCGACCCCGCACGGGCCCGCCCCCGGGGCUGAAGAACCUCGGCAACACCUGCUACCUCAACAGCGUCCUCCAGUGCCUCGCCUCCACGCCUCCCCUCGCCACGUUCUGCCUCGCCUCUCGCCACUCUAAUUUGUGCAAGAAGGUGUUCCCGAACAGAGACAAGGAGUGUGUGUUCUGCGUGCUCGAGCGGCAGAUCGCUCGGCAGCUUCGGGCGGAUGCUGGGGCACUCGACUCGCCAGCAAAGGUCAUCGGUUGCUUACCCCUCUUCGCCGAGCACUUCCGGUGGGGGCGCCAAGAGGAUGCCCACGAGUUCCUCCGUUACGUCAUAGACGCCUGUCACACUGCUGGUCUCCGCAUACGCAAGCGGCUACCUGCGGCAGGUGCCAAUGGAAACUGUGGUGAGGAGGAGGGCCGGGGGCAGGGGCCGUGUAUGGUGAUGAAGGAGACAUUUGGUGGGGCGGUGCUCAGUCAGGUGAAGUGCCUUGUGUGCAAGGGAGAGUCAAACAAGACCGACGAGAUCAUGGACAUCAGUCUUGACCUUCCUGGGAGCAGUUCCGUUGGUGAUGCCCUUGUCCGCUUCUUUCAGCCAGAGAUAUUGGAGGGUGCAAACAAGUAUAGUUGUGAAAGAUGCAAAAAGCUCACUUCGGCACGGAAGCAACUGUUUAUACUCAGGGCACCUAAGGUGCUUGUCAUACAACUCAAGAGAUUUGAGGGAAUAAAUGGUGGAAAGAUCAACAGGAAUAUAGAAUUCAAGGAGGCUCUUGUUCUUUCUGACUUCAUUUAUAAUAAAAAACAGGAUUCACAACCAGUAUAUAAUCUUUUUGGCAGUAUCGUCCACUCAGGGCUCUCCCCAGAGUCUGGUCACUACUAUGCAUAUGUUAAGGAUGCUAUUGGUCGGUGGUAUUGUUGUAAUGAUUCCCAUGUCUCCCUAUCAAGCUCUCAAGAAGUUUUGUCUGAGAAGGUCUAUAUCCUAUUUUAUAUACUGAGUUCGAAAACUCAAAAGCCUAGUACAAAUGGUUACUCUUCUACUGCAGCUAAAUCUUUCAGCACCAAUGGAAAUGGCAUAUCAAGCACCACAUCUAGUGAGACCCAGAAGAUACCUUUAGUUAAACAGAACGGUUCAAGUUUGACCAAAGGUAAUGCACCACUAUCCCUGACAAAUGGCAAGACUGCAUCAGGUCCACAUAUCAAGCCAAUUCACUUGAAGAAUAGUGCAACGGAAAAGCUUAAGUUAAAUGGCAAAGUAAACCUCACAUCAAGAAAUAACCUGGAAGUUAAUGAGAGUGCUAUACCAUCAGAAUCAAAUGGGUGUAAGACUGGAAAAUCAGCGGAACCCAGUAAAAAGAGUGAUAACAGCACUAUUUCUUGUAAAAAGAUGGAUGGUAAUUCAGAAAGAAUAUCGCAGGAUGCAAAUGGAAAUGGACAUCCAAUUCGUUUCCAAUAUCUUGUUGAAACCAGUAAUGCUAAGGCCACAUGUGCUCAACGAUAUUCAGAGCAGUCAUCUGGUGUUGUUGCCUCUAAAAGUUCAGUUUUAUACCAAGAAGAGUCUGCAAAUUCAGUAAAGGAUGUGGUGACUUCGACCAAAAAUAGUGCAUGCUUGAAACGUCAACGUGAAGAAGAGAAGUUAAAAGAAAUGCUUGCUGAGUCAGCCAAUUCUGAGCUUCGGUCAUCUGUUUGGGUGGAUGAUGUCUGUAAUUUCAUGCGCUCGGAAAAGAGGCAGUGUAUUCAAAAUACAGUCAUGCCUCGAGAUAUUGAUGCAAUGAGGAAGCAGCUAGUAGAUUCUGCAAGAAUGUUUAGGUCAAAAGUUCCGGAGCCACUGAUGGAACAUCUCAUUCAACGCCUGAGAACGUACUUUGAGGGCAUAUUUUCAUCGGAUGCUUAGCUUUUAUGCGGUAGUUCUUCAAAAGCUACUUAAUUAUGGAUCUAAAUUUUGACGGUUGAUACAAAAAUUACCUUUUGUGGGACUCUAUAAUUGUUUCAUGUGGAAACACUUGAUUGCCCUGGUGCCAAUUGGAACCUGUUGGUCAACUACCAGCUCCUUGUGCGGCUUAUUUUUGAGGACAUUUUUGUUUUCCUUGCUGAGGUUGAGACAAGGAGCGGCCAAGUUACUUGUAAAAUAUUCCUUUUGAUGUUAUUCCCCAUGCUAUAGGCACCCCCCUCCUCUGUGUCCAGAACGUAGAAGAAUUUUUCUUCUCCUUUUGUACAAUAAUAGCUGGCAGAUUAAAGCAUGAGUAUGUUGUGUCUUCGACCCUUUUUCAAAUGAACUUUAGCCCUUUCAGGGCUUAAGUUAGUUUUGGGAUAUGCAUUCAAUAGAAACAAUCAGAAAAUCUUGGAUAUAA